This 520-nucleotide ribosomal RNA is filed under the name uncultured bacterium. Its description in RNAcentral is "bacterial SSU rRNA". It matches the Rfam family "Bacterial small subunit ribosomal RNA", at positions 8 to 518 of the family's 1533-position model. The record is from RNAcentral.
AGAGUUGAUCCUGGCUCAGGAUGAACGCUGGCGGCAUGCCUAACACAUGCAAGUCGAACGGAGCUAUGAUGGAGCUUGCUUUUUAUAGCUUAGUGGCGGACGGGUGAGUAACGCGUGAGGAAUCUGCCCUCGAGUGGGGAAUAACACCGAGAAAUCGGUGCUAAUACCGCAUAACGUCUUCGGAUCGCAUGUUCUGAAGACCAAAGGAUUUAUUCGCUUGAGGAUGAUCUCGCGUCCGAUUAGUUAGUUGGUGAGGUAACGGCUCACCAAGACCGCGAUCGGUAGCCGAACUGAGAGGUUGAACGGCCACAUUGGGACUGAGAGACGGCCCAAACUCCUACGGGAGGCAGCAGUAGGGAAUUUUCGGCAAUGGGGGAAACCCUGAACCCGAGCAACGCCGCGUGAACGACGAAGUACUUCGGUAUGUAAAGUUCUUUUAAGAGGGAAGAAUGGCCCGUGGAAAAGCGGGCGUGACGGUACCUUUUGAAUAAGCCCCGGCUAACUAUGUGCCAGCAGCCGC